Molecule: ribosomal RNA, 280 nt
Filed under: Acinetobacter sp. TC7
Lineage: Bacteria; Pseudomonadati; Pseudomonadota; Gammaproteobacteria; Moraxellales; Moraxellaceae
Description: partial 16S rRNA
Rfam family: Bacterial small subunit ribosomal RNA
Source: RNAcentral
CAGAUUGAACGCUGGCGGCAGGCUUAACACAUGCAAGUCGAGCGGGGGAAGGUAGCUUGCUACUGGACCUAGCGGCGGACGGGUGAGUAAUGCUUAGGAAUCUGCCUAUUAGUGGGGGACAACAUUCCGAAAGGAAUGCUAAUACCGCAUACGUCCUACGGGAGAAAGCAGGGGACCUUCGGGCCUUGCGCUAAUAGAUGAGCCUAAGUCGGAUUAGCUAGUUGGUGGGGUAAAGGCCUACCAAGGCGACGAUCUGUAGCGGGUCUGAGAGGAUGAUCCG